Molecule: ribosomal RNA, 802 nt
Filed under: uncultured rumen protozoa
Lineage: Eukaryota
Description: bacterial SSU rRNA
Rfam family: Eukaryotic small subunit ribosomal RNA (bases 144-774)
Source: RNAcentral
UUCUGAUUUGUAAGACUACGAUCGAGCAUGCAGGAUGUUCAUAUCAGACGAGGUAGGAUCAGCAUCAGUCUCGUAGUCUUCUUUACUAGCGCUAGGAUGAUGGAAUUUACAUUCAGUACUAUGAGAGUCAAGUCCUUGGUUCUGGGGGAGUAUGUCGCAGACUGAACUUAAGGAAUUGACGGAGGGCACCACAGGAGUGAGCUGCGCUUAUUUGACUCACACGGGAAACUUACCAGGUCCAGACAUAGUAAGGAUUGACAGACUGAUAGCUCUUUCUGAUUCUGUGGGUGGUGGUGCAUGGCCCGUUCUUAGUUGGUGGAGUGAUUUGUCUGUUACUCCGCUCCCCCCCCUCUCCGUACCGCUAUUAGUCGUCCCCAUUUUAUGGAUAUGACUUCUUAGAGGGACUAUGCAUAUCAAGUGCAUGGAAGUUGAGGCAAUAACAGGUCAGUGAUGCCCUUAUAUGUCCUGGGCAAAAAAGCGUGCUACACUGAUGCAUACAACAAGUGCCUAGCUAGACAUAGUAUGGCAAUCUGGAAUAUGCAUCGUGAUGGGGAUAGAUCUUUGCAAUUAUAGAUCUUGAACGAGGAAUUCCUAGUAAGUGCAAGUCAUCCUCUCGCAUUGAUUAUGUCCCUGCCCUUUGUACACACCGCCCGUCGCUCCUACCGAUACCGGGUGAUCCGGUGAACCUUUUGGACCUCGCAAGAGGAAAAAUAAGUAAACCAUAUCACCUAGAGGAAGGAGAAGUCGUACUCAACGGUUUCCUUUUAACUCAAGACAAAUCGGCUCCCUUGCCGAAAAGGCG